This 243-nucleotide unclassified non-coding RNA is filed under the name plant metagenome. RNAcentral describes it as "partial contains small subunit ribosomal RNA and internal transcribed spacer 1". The stretch from base 1 to 46 matches the Rfam family "Eukaryotic small subunit ribosomal RNA", at positions 1786 to 1831 of the family's 1831-position model. The record is from RNAcentral.
AAGUCGUAACAAGGUUUCCGUAGGUGAACCUGCGGAAGGAUUAUUACCGAGUUAGGGUUGCUUCUCGAGCCCGAUCUCCAACCCUUUGUUUAAAUCACUUUGUUCGCUUUGGCAGGCCCUGCUCCUCCGGGGACCGGCCGGGGAUGUUCAUGUCAUCUCUGGCCCAGUGCUUGUCAGUAGCCACUUCAAAUUCAAUGUUAAUCCAUGUUCGUCUGAACCAUUAAAAUAUAAAUUUAAUUAAAA